AACGUAGGAGACAAACGUUAUCCGGAGUUACUGGGCGUAAAGGGCGUGUAGGCGGUUAGUUAAGUCUGGCGUGAAAGCUCUCGGCUAAACCGGGAGAGGUCGUUGGAUACUGGCUGACUAGAGGACGGUAGAGGCGUGUGGAAUUCCGGGUGUAGUGGUGGAAUGCGUAGAGAUCCGGAGGAACACCAGCGGCGAAGGCGGCAUCCUGGACUGGUCCUGACACUCAGGAGCGAAAGCGUGGGGAGCGAUCCGG
Molecule: ribosomal RNA, 253 nt
Filed under: uncultured bacterium
Lineage: Bacteria
Description: partial 16S ribosomal RNA
Rfam family: Bacterial small subunit ribosomal RNA
Source: RNAcentral